This 638-nucleotide long non-coding RNA is filed under the name Theropithecus gelada (gelada). RNAcentral's name for it is "lncRNA (ENSTGEG00000009403.1)". Lineage: Eukaryota; Metazoa; Chordata; Mammalia; Primates; Cercopithecidae. The record is from RNAcentral.
GUUUCCUUCUAAGGGAAAUAAACACCAAAGGUAGGAUUCCAAGGAAAUGACUCACGGCGGCUGGCAGGGCUCUGGCGGGGCUGGCCCGGGCCCCCGCGCUCCAGCCCGCAGCAGAUGCCGGCCCGGCCCUCUCUCCCUCCCUUGCCGGCCAAACCCGCCGGAAGCCCCCGGCCGCGGGAGCGCCCUGCGCCCAUGGGACCUGGCGGCGAGGACGCCUCUUCCCUGCUUCUGCGACCGCAGCUGGGCACUCGGAAAGUUGCUAGGGCCGAAGAGGCUGGAGGGGAGGAAGGGAAGAGAGAGGCGGAGGCGUGGACCAGGCGGGCAGCAGCCUCAGCCCGCCGGGGAGCAAACGAAGAUGAGAAACAGAUGUCUUUGCAGGACCAAACAGUUACUCUCCCUCGCCGCCCCCGCCCGUUUCCCUCCUGAGCUGCUGAUCCUCCGACUGUGAAAAACCAAACCUCUGGCUGCCUGGCACCCUAGGAAUCAAGAAGACGCACAGACUGAAAAUCAAGGGAGGAAGGAACAAGAUCAAGGAUGAGGAUUAGCAUCUGCAAAUUGAACUCUAUCUAAUUUGCAUGUUUAUUUCUUAGAAUUGUAAUUAAAUUUGUGUAAUAAAUGUUUUCCAUUUCAUUUGUACA